CAGCAGCCGCGGUAAUACGAAGGGGGGCUAGCGUUGUUCGGAAUGACUGGGCGUAAAGGGCGCGUAGGCGGAUGGCACAGUCAGAUGUGAAGGCCCUGGGCUCAACCUAGGAAUUGCAUUUGAUACUGUUUGGCUUGAGUUCGGGAGAGGUGAGUGGAAUUCCCAGUGUAGAGGUGAAAUUCGUAGAUAUUGGGAAGAACACCAGUGGCGAAGGCGGCUCACUGGACCGACACUGACGCUGAGGCGCGAAAGCGUGGGGAGCAAACAGGAUUAGAUACCCGCGUAGUCCCUGUCUCUUAUA
RNAcentral lists this ribosomal RNA (301 nucleotides) under uncultured bacterium. RNAcentral describes it as "partial 16S ribosomal RNA". It matches the Rfam family "Bacterial small subunit ribosomal RNA", at positions 509 to 808 of the family's 1533-position model. The record is from RNAcentral.